AACGAACGCUGGCGGCAUGCCUAACACAUGCAAGUCGAACGAGACCUUCGGGUCUAGUGGCGCACGGGUGCGUAACACGUGGGAAUCUGCCCUUUGCUUCGGAAUAACAGUUAGAAAUGACUGCUAAUACCGGAUGAUGUCGAAAGACCAAAGAUUUAUCGGCAAAGGAUGAGCCCGCGUAGGAUUAGGUAGUUGGUGGGGUAAAGGCCUACCAAGCCGACGAUCCUUAGUUGGUCUGAGAGGAUGAUCAGCCACACUGGGACUGAGACACGGCCCAGACUCCUACGGGAGGCAGCAGUGGGGAAUAUUGGACAAUGGGCGAAAGCCUGAUCCAGCAAUGCCGCGUGAGUGAUGAAGGCCUUAGGGUUGUAAAGCUCUUUUACCAGGGAUGAUAAUGACAGUACCUGGAGAAUAAGCUCCGGCUAACUCCGUG
RNAcentral lists this ribosomal RNA (433 nucleotides) under uncultured bacterium. RNAcentral's name for it is "partial 16S ribosomal RNA". It matches the Rfam family "Bacterial small subunit ribosomal RNA", at positions 29 to 507 of the family's 1533-position model. The record is from RNAcentral.